UUUGCAAGAACAUUACUAAUUUAUAGUUUCAAGACUGCUUGAUCUGGACAAUGUAUGGUUUUUGUGCUAUGUCGGUUAAUGUAGGUAGGAUUGGGUAGAUUAUAAGAAUGGAAAAUUGAUGACAGUGAAGCUUCAACAAGAGGUCUGAGGUUCACAUCAAAAGGACUAAAGAUGGAGUGCAAACUGCAAAGGUUUCCUCGGGCCGGAAGGAGAUUGGCCCUUGAGUGCAAAGGCAUAAGGGAGCUUCCACCCCAAGCACACGCAAUGGAGCUGUAGACAGUCAAGUGAAAUCCAAUCCAAGGUGGUCAUACAAAUUGACAGACGAUUUGGGAGAAGACAUCACAGGAGAGAUUUAAGUCGGAGACAAGACUGAUAUUUAUGUGCAGAAAUAGGAAAUUUAAUGGGUUGGGUUUGGCUGAUUUGCAGUGACGUGACAAAGCCAUUAGAACUUGCUCAUAAGUCCUUCUUACUUGGUGAAUCUAGAGAACGAUUUGGACUAAUCAAAAUAAGGAACUUUCUAAUUCUGGUUGAUGUUGUCAAAUUGCUUCUUUAUUGAACUACCAGAAAUAGUUAUUACAGAAUUGAACACUGUUACUACUUUGCUCUCUACAUAUACCUUGCUGAGCUUCAUCUAUAUACUUUUAUGGUUUAUAUAAGAAGAUUGUCUUUUCUAGCUCUCAAUAUGCUAUGAUAUCAUAGUUCAUUCUCUGAACUAGGGGAGGUUUCUAUAA
Molecule: long non-coding RNA, 731 nt
Organism: Asparagus officinalis (garden asparagus)
Lineage: Eukaryota; Viridiplantae; Streptophyta; Magnoliopsida; Asparagales; Asparagaceae
Exons: 2
Source: RefSeq, a predicted model, not a curated record